Molecule: ribosomal RNA, 1008 nt
Filed under: Phaeosphaeria acaciae
Lineage: Eukaryota; Fungi; Ascomycota; Dothideomycetes; Pleosporales; Phaeosphaeriaceae
Description: SSU rRNA
Rfam family: Eukaryotic small subunit ribosomal RNA
Source: RNAcentral
GAACUGCGAAUGGCUCAUUAAAUCAGUUAUCGUUUAUUUGAUAGUACUUACUACUUGGAUAACCGUGGUAAUUCUAGAGCUAAUACAUGCUGAAAACCCCAACUUCGGGAGGGGUGUAUAUAUUAGAUAAAAAACCAACGCCCUUUCGGGGCUUCUUGGUGAUUCAUGAUAUCUUUACGGAUCGCAUGGCCUUGCGCCGGGCGACGGUUCAUUCAAAUUUCUGCCCUAUCAACUUUCGAUGGUAAGGUAUUGGCUUACCAUGGUUUCAACGGGUAACGGGGAAUUAGGGUUCGAUUCCGGAGAGGGAGCCUGAGAAACGGCUACCACAUCCAAGGAAGGCAGCAGGCGCGCAAAUUACCCAAUCCCGACACGGGGAGGUAGUGACAAUAAAUACUGAUACAGGGCUCUUUUGGGUCUUGUAAUUGGAAUGAGUACAAUUUAAACCUCUUAACGAGGAACAAUUGGAGGGCAAGUCUGGUGCCAGCAGCCGCGGUAAUUCCAGCUCCAAUAGCGUAUAUUAAAGUUGUUGCAGUUAAAAAGCUCGUAGUUGAACCUUGGGUCUGGCUGGCAGGUCCGCCUCACCGCGUGUACUUGUCCGGCCGGGCCUUCCUUCUGGAGAACCUCAUGCCCUUCACUGGGCGUGUUGGGGACCAGGACUUUUACUUUGAAAAAAUUAGAGUGUUCAAAGCAGGCCUUUGCUCGAAUACGUUAGCAUGGAAUAAUAGAAUAGGACGUGCGGUCCUAUUUUGUUGGUUUCUAGGACCGCCGUAAUGAUUAAUAGGGACAGUCGGGGGCAUCAGUAUUCAAUUGUCAGAGGUGAAAUUCUUGGAUUUAUUGAAGACUAACUACUGCGAAAGCAUUUGCCAAGGAUGUUUUCAUUAAUCAGUGAACGAAAGUUAGGGGAUCGAAGACGAUCAGAUACCGUCGUAGUCUUAACCGUAAACUAUGCCGACUAGGGAUCGGGCGAUGUUCUUUUUCUGACUCGCUCGGCACCUUACGAGAAAUCAA